This 405-nucleotide ribosomal RNA is filed under the name Sphingomonas sp. 68-F102. RNAcentral describes it as "bacterial SSU rRNA". It matches the Rfam family "Bacterial small subunit ribosomal RNA", at positions 63 to 511 of the family's 1533-position model. The record is from RNAcentral. Lineage: Bacteria; Pseudomonadati; Pseudomonadota; Alphaproteobacteria; Sphingomonadales; Sphingomonadaceae.
CGAACGAAGCCUUUCGGGUUUNAGUGGCGCACGGGUGCGUAACGCGUGGGAAUCUACCCCUUUGGUUCGGAAUAACAGUUGGAAACGACUGCUAAUACCGGAUGAUGACGUAAGUCCAAAGAUUUAUCGCCGAGGGAUGAGCCCGCGUAGGAUUAGGUAGUUGGUGUGGUAAAGGCGCACCAAGCCGACGAUCCUUAGCUGGUCUGAGAGGAUGAUCAGCCACACUGGGACUGAGACACGGCCCAGACUCCUACGGGAGGCAGCAGUGGGGAAUAUUGGACAAUGGGCGAAAGCCUGAUCCAGCAAUGCCGCGUGAGUGAUGAAGGCCUUAGGGUUGUAAAGCUCUUUUACCCGGGAUGAUAAUGACAGUACCGGGAGAAUAAGCUCCGGCUAACUCCGUGCCAG